RNAcentral lists this long non-coding RNA (249 nucleotides) under Rattus norvegicus (Norway rat). RNAcentral describes it as "long non-coding RNA NONRATT010021". The record is from RNAcentral. Lineage: Eukaryota; Metazoa; Chordata; Mammalia; Rodentia; Muridae.
GGAACUGCUAGGUGGUGAUCAUAGUCUGCACCACAAUCAUGCAGCCCUCAUUCUCAUCCGGCUGUCCUACCUGCUGUCUGAGAAGCCAAAGGAAAAGGCCUUGCUUGUAGAGGAUGCUCGCUUUCAGCAACUUGUCAGGCUAGUUGACAGUCAGGUGAGCAGUUACCGUGUACAUGGGGAGAAAGUAGCCACUGAUGACUGACAGCUAUAGACAGGGCUCCUAGCAUUUGGGCUGGGGUAGGAGGUUGG